ACAUGGUCAAGCAGGCACUCACGGGCACACGGCGAGAGGGGCUGGUGGUGCUUGGGCACCCCCACACCCCGGCAGGAACUCCGGGGUGCUCUCGGAGCCUGCUACCCUGCCCGGAGGGAUCCUCAAGCUUUCUACUGGAGCCAGUUUGGCAUCUGCUCCCUAAGAGGGGAAACUGAGGCACGGGGGAAGGAAAGGGGCAAAAACAUUCUGUGUCUGGCUGACUCUGCCGGGAGCUGAAACCCAGGACUCCCGGGGCUGUGCCCGGUGGUGCCCUCAGAACUCCUCGUGUGUCAAUGCCACCGCCUGUCGCUGCAAUCCAGGGUUCAGCUCUUUUUCUGAGAUCAUCACCACCCCCACGGAGACUUGUGAUGACAUCAACGAGUGUGCAACACCGUCGAAAGUGUCAUGCGGAAGAUUCUCGGACUGCUGGAACACAGAGGGGAGCUACGACUGCGUGUGCAGCCCAGGAUAUGAGCCUGUUUCUGGGGCAAAAACAUUCAAGAAUGAGAGCGAGAACACGUGUCAAGAUGUGGACGAAUGUCAGCAGAACC
Molecule: small RNA, 551 nt
Filed under: Pan troglodytes (chimpanzee)
Lineage: Eukaryota; Metazoa; Chordata; Mammalia; Primates; Hominidae
Description: processed transcript
Source: RNAcentral